UACGGAGGAUGCGAGCGUUAUCCGGAUUUAUUGGGUUUAAAGGUGCGCAGGCGGAGGCACAAGUCAGCGGUAAAAUCGCGGGGCUCAACCCCGCUCCGCCGUUGAAACUGUGUCCCUUGAGUGCGCGAAGGGUAGGCGGAAUGCGUGGUGUAGCGGUGAAAUGCAUAGAUAUCACGCAGAACUCCGAUCGCGAAGGCAGCCUACCGGCGCGCUACUGACGCUCAUGCACGAAAGCGUGGGUAUCGAACAGG
This 251-nucleotide ribosomal RNA is filed under the name uncultured bacterium. RNAcentral describes it as "partial 16S ribosomal RNA". It matches the Rfam family "Bacterial small subunit ribosomal RNA", at positions 524 to 776 of the family's 1533-position model. The record is from RNAcentral.